UGAAUACGAGACGCUAAGGCGUCGAAGUAGUGUAUGUCAUACUUCCAAGAAAAGCUUGCACUGUCAUAAGUAAAAAAUGCCUGUACCAUAACCGACACAGGUGGGUAGGUAGAGUAUACUAAGGGGCGCGAGAUAACUCUCUCUAAGGAACUCGGCAAAAUAACUCCGUAACUUCGGGAGAAGGAGUACCUUAUUCUAUAAGGUUGCAAUAACAAGAUCCAAGCAACUGUUUAUCAAAAACACAGGUCUCCGCUAAGUCGUAAGACGAUGUAUGGGGGCUGACGCCUGCCCAGUGCCAGAAGGUUAAAGAAGUCGGUUAGCAUUAGCGAAGCUGGUAACUGAAGCCCUGGUGAACGGCGGCCGUAACAAUAACGGUCCUAAGGUAGCGAAAUUCCUUGUCGGGUAAGUUCCGACCCGCACGAAAGGCGUAAUGAUUUGGAUACUGUCUCGGAGAGGGGCUCGGUGAAAUAGACUUGUCUGUGAAGAUGCGGACUACCUGCACCAGGACAGAAAGACCCUAUGAAGCUUUACCGUAACUUGAAAUUGAAAUUGGACUUUAUUCGCGCAGUAUAGGUGGGAGGUGUUGAUUAUAAUCUUGCGGGAUUAUUGGAGCCAUCAGUGAGAUACCACUCUUGUAAUGUUAGAUUUCUAACUUUGAAUCAUUAUCUGGUCAAAGGACAGUUUCUGGCGGGCAGUUUGACUGGGGCGGUCGCCUUCCAAACGGUAACGGAGGCGUACAAAGGUUUCCUCUGAACGGGUAGAAAUCGUAUCUAGAGUGUAAAGGCAUAAGGAAGCUUGACUGUGAGACCUACAAGUCGAACAGGGACGAAAGUCGGUCUUAGUGAUCUGACGGUACUGAGUGGAAAGGCCGUCACUCAACGGAUAAAGUUACUCUAGGGAUAACAGGCUGAUCUCCCCCAAGAGUUCACAUCGACGGGGAGGUUUGGCACCUCGAUGUCGGCUCAUCGCAUCCUGGGGCGGUAGUACGUCCCAAGGGUUGGGCUGUUCGCCCAUGAAAGCGGUACGCGAGCUGGGUUCAGAACGUCGUGAGACAGUUCGGUCCAUAUCCGGUGUAGGCGUUAGAAUAUUGAGAGGAGCCUUCUUUAGUACGAGAGGACCGAGAAGGACAUACCUCUGGUGUACCAGUUAUCGUGCCAACGGUAAACGCUGGGUAGCUAUGUAUGGAGUGGAUAACCGCUGAAAGCAUCUAAGUGGGAAGCCCACCUCAAGAUAAGUAUUCUC
This 1242-nucleotide ribosomal RNA is filed under the name metagenome. Its description in RNAcentral is "bacterial LSU rRNA". It matches the Rfam family "Bacterial large subunit ribosomal RNA", at positions 1564 to 2815 of the family's 2925-position model. The record is from RNAcentral.